This 214-nucleotide long non-coding RNA is filed under the name Gossypium raimondii (Peruvian cotton). RNAcentral describes it as "long non-coding RNA (GRAI_LNC005899)". The record is from RNAcentral. Lineage: Eukaryota; Viridiplantae; Streptophyta; Magnoliopsida; Malvales; Malvaceae.
UGUAAUGGCCCAAUUCUAUCUGGCCCAGAAAAAAACAAAAACAAAUAAAUAAAAAAAGUCCAUUAACAAGAGUCCAUUUACAAAACCCUAAAUACCCAAUACAUCCAAAGCCCAAAUAGCCCAACUAUCCUAAACUAGCAAAAAUCCUAAUUUCACCCUAAGAGCUUCAACGCCGCUCCUUCACCACAUCAGCAGACACAUCGCCCAAGGUCUC